UACGGGGGGGGUAAGCGUUGUUCGGAAUUACUGGGCGUAAAGGGUCUGUAGGUGGCUUGCUAAGUCAGACGUGAAAUCCCUCAGCUUAACUGGGGAACUGCGUCUGAGACUGGCGAGCUUGAGUGCAGGAGAGGAACGCGGAAUUCCAGGUGUAGCGGUGAAAUGCGUAGAGAUGUGGAGGAACACCAAUGGCGAAGGCAGCCUUCUGGGCCAACACUGACGCUCAUGCACGAAAGCGUGGGGAGCAAACAGG
Molecule: ribosomal RNA, 253 nt
Filed under: uncultured bacterium
Lineage: Bacteria
Description: partial 16S ribosomal RNA
Rfam family: Bacterial small subunit ribosomal RNA
Source: RNAcentral